RNAcentral lists this ribosomal RNA (952 nucleotides) under Mycobacterium sp. NS-7484. RNAcentral's name for it is "bacterial LSU rRNA". It matches the Rfam family "Bacterial large subunit ribosomal RNA", at positions 1 to 871 of the family's 2925-position model. Lineage: Bacteria; Bacillati; Actinomycetota; Actinomycetes; Mycobacteriales; Mycobacteriaceae. The record is from RNAcentral.
GUGUUGUAAGUGUUUAAGGGCGCAUGGUGGAUGCCUUGGCACUGGGAGCCGAUGAAGGACGUUGGAGGCUGCGAUAUGCCUCGGGGAGCUGCCAACCGAGCGUUGAUCCGAGGAUGUCCGAAUGGGGAAACCCGGCACGAGUGAUGUCGUGUCACCUGGCACUGAAUACAUAGGUGUCAGGGGGGAACGCGGGGAAGUGAAACAUCUCAGUACCCGUAGGAAGAGAAAACAAAAUUGUGAUUCCGUGAGUAGUGGCGAGCGAAAGCGGAGGAUGGCUAAACCGUAUGCAUGUGAUACCGGGUAGGGGUUGUGUGUGCGGGGUUGUGGGACCUGUUUUUCCAGUUCUACUCGGCUGGAGGGUAGUGAGAAAAUGUUGUGGUUAGCGGAAGUGGUUUGGGAUGACCUGCCGUAGACGGUGAGAGCCCGGUACGUGAAAACCUGACAUCUACCUUGAACGGUGUUCCCGAGUAGCAGCGGGCCCGUGAAAUCUGCUGUGAAUCUGCCGGGACCACCCGGUAAGCCUGAAUACUUCCCAGUGACCGAUAGCGGAUUAGUACCGUGAGGGAAUGGUGAAAAGUACCCCGGGAGGGGAGUGAAAUAGUACCUGAAACCGUGCGCUUACAAUCCGUCAGAGCCUUCCACUUUGUGGUGGGGUGAUGGCGUGCCUUUUGAAGAAUGAGCCUGCGAGUCAGGGACAUGUCGCGAGGUUAACCCGGGUGGGGUAGCCGCAGCGAAAGCGAGUCUGAAUAGGGCGUAUCCACACAGUAGUGUGUGGUGUAGUGGUGUGUUCUGGACCCGAAGCGGAGUGAUCUACCCAUGGCCAGGGUGAAGCGCGGGUAAGACCGCGUGGAGGCCCGAACCCACUUAGGUUGAAGACUGAGGGGAUGAGCUGUGGGUAGGGGUGAAAGGCCAAUCAAACUCCGUGAUAGCUGGUUCUCCCCGAAAUGCAUUU